UAAUGCUAAAAAAAUGUUCUGUGGCCUUCUAGCCUAACAAAUCAGGAGGAACCCGAGACCUGAAACAUCUCUGUGCAGAUGAUGAACAAAGUAGGACCUGUUGGAUGACAGCAAUUAGGUUGCUUAAGGUAAUUUUUCUGUGUGGAGUUAACUUCUUGCUUAGGUUUACUCUGUGCAAUUUUGAUAUUGUGUGCUAGAGGAACAUCUAGGUUCCCAUGCAAUAGCAAUCUCAACUUUGUACUCUGAAAUGUGAAAGCUUAUUGUAUUUCAACCCAAUAAAUGGAGACCAAAUUACUGAAAUCAUUGUAGGGCAUGGGAUGAUGUCUUGAAGCCUCAGUCCUGCAAAUACUUAACUAUAAGCAUAUGCUUAUAUGCAACCAUGUUGAAGUCAUUGAGGUUGUUGAGUAAUAUUGAACAAAACAACAGGAAUAUGCAAGAAUGUUUUUAGUAUGUUUUUAAAAUGUGUCUAUGUGUGACAAAAUAGGAGUAGGUCAUUUGUUGUAUUAAAUGGGUAGCAUUUAAAGCAGAGUGUACGUUUAUAAAGGCAGCAGCAACAGUGGUGAUAAUGUGCAUUUCCUUAUCCUAAGAGCAGUUGUCCCUGAGUUUUAAUAGUAAAGAAAAGCAUGUGUUAUCAUUGACAUCUGGGAAAAACAAUUUACUUAGCUUAGGGUUAUAAUUUAAAAUGCUAAGCAUGUUAUUUUCUGGUUUCAGUAUGGGAUGCAGCUGUAUCAGAAUUGCAUGCAACCGUAUCAAGGUAGAAGCGGCUGCAGCCCUUUGAAUAUAACACCUAUGAGAAGUAUCUCAGAAAAUUCUUUGGUAGCAAUGGAUUUCUCAGGACACAGAAGCAGAAUUAUAGAAAAUCCAACAGAAGCCCUUUAAGUUGCAGUUGAAGAAGGAUGAGUGUGGCAGAGGAGAGGUUGCCUGUGACUCAACUCACAUGGUAGUCCUAUUGCCAUGUCUAACAUGGCUAUACACAGAUCUCAGUUGUGGUUUCAUCAUAAAAUAAUCUAGAGGAGAGGCUCACAGACUUAUUUUGCAGCAUGGACUUGUAGAUG
Long non-coding RNA from Pezoporus flaviventris, 1055 nucleotides. RefSeq lists it as uncharacterized. The transcript is spliced from 4 exons. The record is from RefSeq and is a predicted model, not a curated record. Lineage: Eukaryota; Metazoa; Chordata; Aves; Psittaciformes; Psittacidae.